Molecule: ribosomal RNA, 253 nt
Filed under: uncultured bacterium
Lineage: Bacteria
Description: partial 16S ribosomal RNA
Rfam family: Bacterial small subunit ribosomal RNA
Source: RNAcentral
UACGAAGGGUGCAAGCGUUACUCGGAAUUACUGGGCGUAAAGGGUGCGUAGGUGGUCGUUUAAGUCCGUUGUGAAAUCCCUGGGCUCAACCUGGGAAUGGCAGUGGAUACUGGACGGCUAGAAUGCGGUAGAGGGUAGUGGAAUUCCCGGUGUAGCAGUGAAAUGCGUAGAGAUGUGGAGGAAUACCGAUGGCGAAGGCAGCCCCCUGGGCCAAUACUGACGCUCAUGCACGAAAGCGUGGGGAGCAAACAGG